This 233-nucleotide unclassified non-coding RNA is filed under the name plant metagenome. RNAcentral describes it as "partial contains small subunit ribosomal RNA, internal transcribed spacer 1, and 5.8S ribosomal RNA". The record is from RNAcentral.
UUUCCGUAGGUGAACCAGCGGAAGGAUCAUUAUUGGAUUUUGAAACUUCAGGCUGCUGCUGGCUCUCCUCGGAGGGCAUGUGCACGCUUGUUGUCCAUUAUUUCUCCCACUGUGCACAAAUUGUAGACCUUUCAGUAGGCCUAUGCUGUUUUUCACAAUCUCUGAAUGUAAUAGAAUGGUUUUGAAUCUUGGGAAAUACAAUACAACUUUCAGCAACGGAUCUCUUGGCUCUC